Molecule: ribosomal RNA, 253 nt
Filed under: uncultured bacterium
Lineage: Bacteria
Description: partial 16S ribosomal RNA
Rfam family: Bacterial small subunit ribosomal RNA
Source: RNAcentral
UACGUAGGGGGCAAGCGUUGUCCGGAAUCAUUGGGCGUAAAGCGCGUGUAGGCGGCCCGAUAAGUCCGCUGUGAAAGUCCAGGGCUCAACCCUGGGAUGCCGGUGGAUACUGUCGGGCUCGAGUCCGGAAGAGGCGAGUGGAAUUCCUGGUGUAGCGGUGAAAUGCGCGGAUAUCAGGGGGAACACCAAUGGCGAAGGCAGCUCGCUGGGACGUGACUGACGCUGAGACGCGAAAGCGUGGGGAGCAAACAGG